RNAcentral lists this transfer RNA (67 nucleotides) under Idea leuconoe. RNAcentral's name for it is "tRNA-Cys". Lineage: Eukaryota; Metazoa; Arthropoda; Insecta; Lepidoptera; Nymphalidae. The record is from RNAcentral.
AGCCUUAUAUUCAAAAAAAGAAUGAUAUAAAAUUGCAAAUUUUAAGGUGAAUUUUUUUCUAAGGCUU